Molecule: ribosomal RNA, 183 nt
Filed under: Gemmatimonadota bacterium
Lineage: Bacteria; Pseudomonadati; Gemmatimonadota
Description: Gemmatimonadetes bacterium (marine sediment metagenome) partial 23S ribosomal RNA
Rfam family: Bacterial large subunit ribosomal RNA
Source: RNAcentral
UCGGGCCGGGAUAACCGCUGAAAGCAUCUAAGUGGGAAGCCCACCCCAAGACGAGGUCUCCCCAAAGCGUAAGCUCUCUGAAGGUCCCCAGGAGACGACUGGGUAGAUAGGCGGCAGGUGUAAGCGGGGCAACUCGCUCAGCCGAGCCGUACUAAUCGACCGUGAGGCUCGAAACCCCUCUUC